ACGGUCAUACCAAGUAAAAAACCUCGGUUUUUAUCCGAUCACCGAAGUUAAACAUGAUCGGGCUUGGCCAGUACUUGGAAAGAUGACCAUCUGGGAACACAACGUGC
Trichonephila clavata is the source of this 107-nucleotide non-coding RNA. The record is from the annotation of a GenBank genome assembly. NCBI's taxonomy places the organism in Eukaryota, Metazoa, Arthropoda, Arachnida, Araneae, Nephilidae.